This 585-nucleotide long non-coding RNA is filed under the name Homo sapiens (human). Its description in RNAcentral is "non-protein coding lnc-SLC45A4-2:14". Lineage: Eukaryota; Metazoa; Chordata; Mammalia; Primates; Hominidae. The record is from RNAcentral.
GACGUCAUCCAGCCCCCAAGGCUCCAGGACGCAAAGGGUCCCCUGAUCUGGCAGUCCCUGGACCUACCCUGGAGAGCGUGGGGGGACAAAGGCCGGACGCGCCGCCCGCUGCCGCCUCCAGGAAGCCCUCCCUUGCCAGGACAGUGGAGUUGGCCGGGUCCUUCCAAAGUGCCUACGGAAAGCUUUGUCCCAUCCUUGAAAAAUUGCUAAUGGGUUUGGAGAUACGAGGUGGAGAUGACUAGCAAUCAAACUCAAAGGUGGAAGUCACAUCGAGGCAGAUGAGCAGAUGAGGGGACCUAGAGAAGAAGAGAGGUGCAAGGAGAGCCCAGCCAGCAGGAACAUCUGCCCCAGUAGGCAGCACUGCCCCACAUCAGAGUCGAGGAAAGCAAAGCUCGGAUUGGAUAAAAGAAACUUGCAAACACGGUCAGUGCUUACUGCAUGUGGGCUCAGAGCACGUUACCCUCCUUCCCUGCAUGUUCCUGUGAAACGGGUUUACUGCUCUAACUCUCAGGGACACUGUGAAGACCAAACGAGAAAAUAGAAACAAACAUAAUUUAUAAACCAUAAAGUACUGACACCAAAAGA